Molecule: ribosomal RNA, 393 nt
Filed under: uncultured bacterium
Lineage: Bacteria
Description: partial 16S ribosomal RNA
Rfam family: Bacterial small subunit ribosomal RNA
Source: RNAcentral
AUACGGAGGAUGCGAGCGUUAUCCGGAUUUAUUGGGUUUAAAGGGAGCGUAGGUGGGAUAUUAAGUCAGCUGUGAAAGUUUGGGGCUCAACCUUAAAAUUGCAGUUGAUACUGGUUUCCUUGAGUACGGUACAGGUGGGCGGAAUUCGUGGUGUAGCGGUGAAAUGCUUAGAUAUCACGAAGAACUCCGAUCGCGAAGGCAGCUCACCGGGCCGGAACUGACACUGAUGCUCGAAAGUGCGGGUAUCGAACAGGAUUAGAUACCCUGGUAGUCCGCACAGUAAACGAUGAAUACUCGCUGUUUGCGAUACACUGUAAGCGGCCAAGCGAAAGCGUUAAGUAUUCCACCUGGGGAGUACGCCGGCAACGGUGAAACUCAAAUGAAUGGGCGGGG